ACCCACCCGACCUCUGAACACACCUGAUUUUACCUGAUCUCUGAAGCUAUGCAGAGUCAGGCCUGGUUAGUGCUUGGAUGAGGGACAAAGAGCAAAAGGAAAUGAGAGUU
RNAcentral lists this ribosomal RNA (110 nucleotides) under Vicugna pacos (alpaca). Lineage: Eukaryota; Metazoa; Chordata; Mammalia; Artiodactyla; Camelidae. The record is from RNAcentral.